Molecule: long non-coding RNA, 511 nt
Organism: Diabrotica virgifera virgifera (western corn rootworm)
Lineage: Eukaryota; Metazoa; Arthropoda; Insecta; Coleoptera; Chrysomelidae
Exons: 3
Source: RefSeq, a predicted model, not a curated record
UUAGAUGUGACCAUACGAGCUCUGAAAACUACAGUAGAACCCCGCAAAUCCGAACUAAUUGGGGGGACAGCCUGUUCGGAUUCCGAAAAGUUCGGAUUAUCCGAAAGUUAGCCUUAACUAGUAGUUCAAAGCUUUCAUUGUGAUUUUGAGUAGCCAAACGUUCUCGCAAGAGUGUGGACAAUAUUUUUGGACUCAAGUUGACUAUGAGAGAGCCAAAAUCUUCUGCUUAUCCUGAGAAAUUACCUGCUUUACAAGAAAUUCCAACAAAAUUUAAGAUCGAAGUAUUUGCACUGAUAGAAAUCGUCGAUGAUACCAUUUAGAAGGGCUACAUGAAACAAGAACAUCAUUAGCAACAUUAACAGGAGACUUUGAGUAACAAAUUGUUAUAAAAUAUAAUCUGCAAAUGCGAAAUAUUUGUUUGGUUGGUGACAUGAGACGGAUAUACACCAGCAAACGAGUUUUCCUUCAGAAAAUAGCUACGUGUGGUUAUGAAUCUGAACAAGAGUGGCGA